AUUGUUGUGUAAAUUUAAUCCACCCCUUUGCACCCGAGAAUAACAGCCGGAAAAUAUGAACUAUAAAUAACCUCUUGCCUGGUAGGGGGACAAAACACAAUCCUCUCGCGUUUGUUGCUGUUUCAUCAGCGCCGCUCAAGUUUCCAUAAAUACUACACGGUAGCAGUGAUACCUUUUAUUGUGACGACUGACAAGGAACUGCUUGUCAAGUAAUAAUUAAGGCUUGCCUGACUCAUGCCUCAGAAAUACGAGUGAACAUUCAAAGCAACUGAAAGAAGGGGGAAAAAUGUAGCAGCAAGAAACUCAAUGAUUCCAAGGACUGCGAAUGCUUGCUUUCUAUGGGAAUCAUCGGCUGUCAGAGAUGAAGCAGAUAGGAGCAGAUGUGAGGCAAGAGACAAAGGGACAAGAAUGCAAUGACCUCAUCAGCCAAACCACACCUGGCAAGGGCCUGCACGCCAUCCAAUGGGAACUGCACGCCAUCCAAUGGGAACAGCAGGCUGCAGAAAGCAGAGGACGGCACACCAUUAAGAAACGGGCAUGACGGUGAACCCACCGCAAUUGAGCAAACAGCAAUCACCAAGCUGAGAGGGAGAAGCCAGCCAAAGGGGUGGUGACCUUCUGGCCUGAUUUACAGCUCCUGUGACAGGGCCAAUGCUGCAGCCACAUCUUCAUUAGUGACUUCCACCUGAGAGCUGAGCUGCCAGGAGCCAACCAACUUCCAGCCUGGGCUUGAUGGGCCUCCCCAUGGAUUGCCCAGCCCUGCCCAGACCAACAGCACAAGAUCCAGUCUUUCCAGUGCACAGUGAACUCUCCCUUCACCCUCCCCCAGCCUUGCUUCCCAACCUCCCUCACCAAACCAAACUCCUAUCCUUACAACCACCCAGAGGAAUCUUGGCUUUGUCCAGAAGGCGCUAUAAAUCUAUUGAGUGAUGUCAGUGUCAUUUUGGGGAACAUACAACCUAAACACAAAUAUUUUACAUUGUGUGUGUGUGUGUGUGUGUGUGUAUGUGUGCACGCUCGUGUGUGUGUGCAAAUUAUUGAUAGAAGCCAGUGUUAAAGAUGAACUUCAUCCUUUUUUUCACUGGUAGAAAUGUGUUUCUGUUGGACUGUCUCAGACGCUUAACAGUAUAAACAACUGUCACCACUGCUCCUACCUCCCAAGCUGAGAUCGAUGGCAUUUCAAAUGGCACUGCUCUCUUCUGCACCCUGUGUGGCAUAUAGGGUUCCUCUCAGUAUAUUAGUGUCAUGCAGGGGAAAAAAGAAGAAUGCUUUGUUGAAUUUUCAGAAAGCUACUGCUCUCCUUUUUCCUAUGCUGACUCCUAUGUUCACUUUAUCAACCCUGCCUAGUAAGACUGAAACAAAACAGACAAACAUUAAUUAUUAUUUAAUAAAAUACAAAUACCUCAUUCUACAAUUUUAUUUAAUGUCUUUUAAUACAAAGCCAUUUUAUUGCAAGGAUCGCACAUACAAAUUUGGUAGGCUGUGAAGUCUACUGUAGGGUAGCAAUGCGAUGAUGGAAGAACAACUAAUAUAAACAUGUUACAGGGCUUGUGUUCCAUAGAAUGGAUUGUUAUGAAAUAACUACACAAACAAACUGUUUUAGUCAGUAGUUAGAAUAGGAGUAGUAGAGCCCAUUUUCGAAGGUUUUAAACCAGUAGAAUCAAUCCGAGAGGCAUGUCGCUGAAAUAAUCUGCAUAUUUCAAAACAUUAAGCAACCCAUAGUUCAACUUUGAUAUGGAGGCCUCAGUACCAUAGGGUAAAGCAUAAGGAACUGGUCUUGUAACCAAGAAAUUACAGGUCUUAUUCCCUGGUAGUAAACUGCUUUUGUUCACUUGAGCAAGGUGCUUAACCUGCAUUGCUUCAGCAGAUGUCUGGCUAUAUAAAGAUAUACAAUGCAAGUGCGAUGUAAUAAGUUGUGUAAAUUGCUCUGUAUAAGAGCAUCUGCUAAAUGCCUGUAAUGUCUUUAGAACUUAAUUUAGGUAAAUAUUUAAUGUUCCGUUUUCCACUGUACCGUGCAUUUGUAUCGUACAUAUAUAGUUGUACAUGGAAUUUCAGGUUUUAUAUCUGAAUCAUGUUUUUGUUUUCACAAAGCAAAUUAUAAAGUGCAAAAAAUUG
Anguilla anguilla (European eel) is the source of this 2115-nucleotide long non-coding RNA. RefSeq lists it as uncharacterized. The transcript has 3 exons. The record is from RefSeq and is a predicted model, not a curated record. Lineage: Eukaryota; Metazoa; Chordata; Actinopteri; Anguilliformes; Anguillidae.